GGUGAACGACAAGCGGCAAGCUAACCUAAAAGGCUCAGGCAGACUGGGGAAAGCGCGGUGCAAGUCCGCCACUGUGACGCAACUGUGAUGGGAUCCCUCCCUCAGCCAGAACACCCACCUGCCGUUGUCCUGUACC
RNAcentral lists this non-coding RNA (136 nucleotides) under Synechococcus sp. Lineage: Bacteria; Bacillati; Cyanobacteriota; Cyanophyceae; Synechococcales; Synechococcaceae. The record is from RNAcentral. RNAcentral also lists the same sequence under 1 other name.